UGGGCUGGCCGAAAGCCCCGGGUCCACCAAUCGGCGGGUAAGACACCC
This 48-nucleotide non-coding RNA is filed under the name unclassified sequences. RNAcentral describes it as "DUF3800-XI RNA". It matches the Rfam family "DUF3800-XI RNA". Rfam says of the family: Actinobacteria, Firmicutes, Proteobacteria, Spirochaetes (1 example). The record is from Rfam by way of RNAcentral.